CCUACGGGAGGCAGCAGUGAGGAAUAUUGGUCAAUGGACGAGAGUCUGAACCAGCCAAGUAGCGUGAAGGAUGACUGCCCUAUGGGUUGUAAACUUCUUUUAUAUGGGAAUAAAAUGUUCCACGUGUGGGAUUUUGUAUGUACCAUAUGAAUAAGGAUCGGCUAACUCCGUGCCAGCAGCCGCGGUAAUACGGAGGAUCCGAGCGUUAUCCGGAUUUAUUGGGUUUAAAGGGAGCGUAGGUGGAUUGUUAAGUCAGUUGUGAAAGUUUGCGGAUCAACCGUAAAAUUGCAGUUGAAACUGGCAGUCUUGAGUACAGUAGAGGUGGGCGGAAUUCGUGGUGUAGCGGUGAAAUGCUUAGAUAGCACGAAGAACUCCGAUUGCGAAGGCAGUUCACUGGACUGCAACUGACACUGAGGCUCGAAAGUGUGGGUAUCAAACAGGAUUAGAUACCCGAGUAGUC
Molecule: ribosomal RNA, 460 nt
Filed under: uncultured bacterium
Lineage: Bacteria
Description: partial 16S ribosomal RNA
Rfam family: Bacterial small subunit ribosomal RNA
Source: RNAcentral